GGGGAAUUGUUCGCAAUGGGCGCAAGCCUGACGACGCAACGCCGCGUGGGGGAUGAAGGUCUUCGGAUUGUAAACCCCUGUUGGGUGGGACGAACACUUUCGUGGUGAAUAGCCAUGGAGGCUGACGGUACCACCUGAGGAAGCCCCGGCUAACUCCGUGCCAGCAGCCGCGGUAAUACGGAGGAUGCAAGCGUUAUCCGGAAUUAUUGGGCGUAAAGCGUCCGUAGGUGGUUAAUCAAGUCUAUUGUCAAAGCCUGGGGCUUAACCCUGGAGAGGCGGUGGAAACUGGUUAACUUGAGUGCGGUAGGGGCAGAGGGAAUUCCCAGUGUAGCGGUGAAAUGCGUAGAUAUUGGGAAGAACACCGGUGGCGAAAGCGCUCUGCUGGGCCUGCACUGACACUGAGGGACGAAAGCUAGGGGAGCGAA
Molecule: ribosomal RNA, 425 nt
Filed under: uncultured bacterium
Lineage: Bacteria
Description: bacterial SSU rRNA
Rfam family: Bacterial small subunit ribosomal RNA
Source: RNAcentral